GCCGGGCAUGGUGGCUCAUGCCUGUAGUCCCAGCUACUCGGGAGGCUGAAGUGGGAGGAUUGCUUGAGCCCAGGAGUUCUGGGCUGUAGUGUGCUGUGCAGUUCGGGUGUCCACACUAAUUUCAGCAUCAAUAUGGUGACCUUCCUGGAGCGGGGAACCACCAGGUUGCCUAAGGAGGAGGGGUCAACCAUCCCAGGUCGGAAACAGAGCAGGUCAAAACUCCUGUGCUGAUCAGUAAUAGGAUCACGCCUGUGAAUAGCCACUGCACUCCAGCCUGGGCAACACAGUGAGACCCCGUCUCU
This 302-nucleotide signal recognition particle RNA is filed under the name Aotus nancymaae (Ma's night monkey). RNAcentral describes it as "Metazoan signal recognition particle RNA (ENSANAG00000004001.1)". It matches the Rfam family "Metazoan signal recognition particle RNA". Rfam says of the family: The signal recognition particle (SRP) is a universally conserved ribonucleoprotein. It is involved in the co-translational targeting of proteins to membranes. The eukaryotic SRP consists of a 300-nucleotide 7S RNA and six proteins: SRPs 72, 68, 54, 19, 14, and 9. The record is from RNAcentral. Lineage: Eukaryota; Metazoa; Chordata; Mammalia; Primates; Aotidae.